GGGGGUGUAGCUCAGUGGUAGAGCAUCUGCUUUGCACGCAGAGGGUCAAGGGUUCGACUCCCUUCAUCUCCACCA
This 75-nucleotide transfer RNA is filed under the name Candidatus Megaera endosymbiont of Hartmannula sinica. RNAcentral's name for it is "tRNA-Ala". It matches the Rfam family "tRNA". From Rfam's summary of the family: Transfer RNA (tRNA) molecules are approximately 80 nucleotides in length. Their secondary structure includes four short double-helical elements and three loops (D, anti-codon, and T loops). Lineage: Bacteria; Pseudomonadati; Pseudomonadota; Alphaproteobacteria; Rickettsiales; Rickettsiaceae. The record is from RNAcentral.